This is a long non-coding RNA of Diceros bicornis minor, 562 nucleotides long. RefSeq lists it as uncharacterized. The transcript is spliced from 3 exons. Lineage: Eukaryota; Metazoa; Chordata; Mammalia; Perissodactyla; Rhinocerotidae. The record is from RefSeq and is a predicted model, not a curated record.
CAUUGAAGGCCGCAAUUAAGAGUCUCCCUCUAUCUGUGCCCUUUGCAAUGUGACCUUGCAGAUUCUUCCAUCAAGAGCUUAUAUAUAAACAUUUUACAGAGAACUGUCUUCAGAAGGUAACGUGCGUGGAUUGUUGCCUCCUGAAUGCACGCAAAAGACUUUGUUCUACAACAAAGCCAUGGGCCACCGUGUAACUGUUAACCUAAGUGAUAAUCUGUUGAAAAAGAUACCUCAAUCAACUGACAUAAAACAUCAUGUUUUAUCAUGUUCCCUCAUGCCUAUAGACAUGUUUUGGGUGGAAUCACGAGAAGAAGAAACGGACAGCGUCUCUGAACCAAUUUCACUGCCCUCUACUGGGGUGACGCGGAUGGUGGUGAUUCCAUGAUGGUGAUGCUCAUCAUUAUCAAUGUUGCUUCUCUUGCGAUCUCCAGAGCCAAAACUGUCUUUCAGGGACUCACAGCUUUCUGAGUCCCUAUUGAGAUCGUUGAGCUCAUAAGUUUGGCGAAGGCUGCCUUUUUCAGGGGCUUUCCAUUUCCAGGAGCCACUGCCUUCGCCUUCGGUG